RNAcentral lists this transfer RNA (74 nucleotides) under Endomicrobium sp. RNAcentral describes it as "tRNA-Val". It matches the Rfam family "tRNA". Rfam says of the family: Transfer RNA (tRNA) molecules are approximately 80 nucleotides in length. Their secondary structure includes four short double-helical elements and three loops (D, anti-codon, and T loops). The record is from RNAcentral. Lineage: Bacteria; Pseudomonadati; Elusimicrobiota; Endomicrobiia; Endomicrobiales; Endomicrobiaceae.
GCCCGGUUAGCUCAGUUGGUUAGAGUACUUCCUUGACAUGGAAGAGAUCAGAAGUUCGAGUCUUCUACCGGGCA